Molecule: ribosomal RNA, 219 nt
Filed under: uncultured bacterium
Lineage: Bacteria
Description: partial 16S ribosomal RNA
Rfam family: Bacterial small subunit ribosomal RNA
Source: RNAcentral
ACUCCUACGGGAGGCAGCAGUGGGAAUAUUGGACAAUGGGCGCAAGCCUGAUCCAGCCAUGCCGCGUGAGUGAAGAAGGCCUUAGGGUUGUAAAGCUCUUUCAGCAGGGAAGAUAAUGACGGUACCUGCAGAAGAAGCCCCGCUAACUCCGUGCCAGCAGCCGCGGUAAUACGGAGGGGCGUAGCGUUGUUCGGAAUUACUGGGCGUAAAGCGCGCGUA